RNAcentral lists this ribosomal RNA (502 nucleotides) under uncultured bacterium. RNAcentral describes it as "partial 16S ribosomal RNA". It matches the Rfam family "Bacterial small subunit ribosomal RNA", at positions 30 to 523 of the family's 1533-position model. The record is from RNAcentral.
AUUGAACGCUGGCGGCAUGCCUUGCACAUGCAAGUCGAACGGCAGCAUAGGAGCUUGCUCCUGAUGGCGAGUGGCGAACGGGUGAGUAAUAUAUCGGAACGUGCCCUAGAGUGGGGGAUAACUAGUCGAAAGGCUAGCUAAUACCGCAUACGAUCUACGGAUGAAAGUGGGGGAUCGCAAGACCUCAUGCUCCUGGAGCGGCCGAUAUCUGAUUAGCUAGUUGGUGGGGUAAAAGCCUACCAAGGCAACGAUCAGUAGCUGGUCUGAGAGGACGACCAGCCACACUGGGACUGAGACACGGCCCAGACUCCUACGGGAGGCAGCAGUGGGGAAUUUUGGACAAUGGGGGCAACCCUGAUCCAGCAAUGCCGCGUGAGUGAAGAAGGCCUUCGGGUUGUAAAGCUCUUUUGUCAGGGAAGAAACGGUAGUAGCGAAUAACUAUUACUAAUGACGGUACCUGAAGAAUAAGCACCGGCUAACUACGUGCCAGCAGCAGCCGCGG